UACGUAGGUGGCGAGCGUUGUCCGGAUUUACUGGGCGUAAAGCGCGCGCAGGCGGUCCUUCAAGUCAGAGGUGAAAGCCCAGAGCUCAACUCUGGAAUGGCCUUUGAGACUAGAGGACUUGGGUACGGGAGAGGUGAGUGGAAUUCCGAGUGUAGAGGUGAAAUUCGUAGAUAUUCGGAAGAACACCAGUGGCGAAGGCGGCUCACUGGCCCGUUACCGACGCUCAGGCGCGACAGCGUGGGGAGCAAACAGG
This 253-nucleotide ribosomal RNA is filed under the name uncultured bacterium. Its description in RNAcentral is "partial 16S ribosomal RNA". It matches the Rfam family "Bacterial small subunit ribosomal RNA", at positions 524 to 776 of the family's 1533-position model. The record is from RNAcentral.